Molecule: ribosomal RNA, 490 nt
Filed under: uncultured bacterium
Lineage: Bacteria
Description: partial 16S ribosomal RNA
Rfam family: Bacterial small subunit ribosomal RNA
Source: RNAcentral
GAUGAACGCUAGCUACAGGCUUAACACAUGCAAGUCGCGGGGCAGCAUGGGGGUUGCUUGCAAUCCCCGAUGGCGACCGGCGCACGGGUGAGUAACGCGUAUUCAACCUGCCCUUCACCACGGGAUAACCCGGCGAAAGUCGGACUAAUACCGUAUGUUGUCCAUUGACGGCAUCCGAUUUGGACGAAAGGCUUGGCGGUGAGGGAUGGGGAUGCGUCCGAUUAGCCAGACGGCGGGGUAACGGCCCACCGUGGCUACGAUCGGUAGGGGUUCUGAGAGGAAGGUCCCCCACACUGGAACUGAGACACGGUCCAGACUCCUACGGGAGGCAGCAGUGAGGAAUAUUGGUCAAUGGGCGUAAGCCUGAACCAGCCAAGUAGCGUGCAGGAUGACGGCCCUAUGGGUUGUAAACUGCUUUUAUGCGGGGAUAAAGUGGCCCACGGGUGGGCUUUUGCAGGUACCGCAUGAAUAAGGACCGGCUAAUUCCGUG